RNAcentral lists this ribosomal RNA (814 nucleotides) under uncultured bacterium. Its description in RNAcentral is "bacterial SSU rRNA". It matches the Rfam family "Bacterial small subunit ribosomal RNA", at positions 1 to 807 of the family's 1533-position model. The record is from RNAcentral.
UUAGAGUUUGAUCCUGGCUCAGGAUGAACGCUAGCUACAGGCUUAACACAUGCAAGUCGAGGGGAAACGGCAUUUAGUGCUUGCACUGAAUGGACGUCGACCGGCGCACGGGUGAGUAACGCGUAUCCAACCUACCCAUUACUGUGGGAUAACCUGCCGAAAGGCAGACUAAUACCGCAUAGUCUUCGAUGACGGCAUCAGAUUUGAAGUAAAGAUUUAUCGGUAAUGGAUGGGGAUGCGUCUGAUUAGCUUGUUGGCGGGGUAACGGCCCACCAAGGCAACGAUCAGUAGGGGUUCUGAGAGGAAGGUCCCCCACAUUGGAACUGAGACACGGUCCAAACUCCUACGGGAGGCAGCAGUGAGGAAUAUUGGUCAAUGGACGAGAGUCUGAACCAGCCAAGUAGCGUGCAGGAUGGCGGCCCUAUGGGUUGUAAACUGCUUUUGUAUGGGGAUAAAGUCAAUCACGUGUGAUUGUUUGCAGGUACCAUACGAAUAAGGACCGGCUAAUUCCGUGCCAGCAGCCGCGGUAAUACGGAAGGUCCGGGCGUUAUCCGGAUUUAUUGGGUUUAAAGGGAGCGUAGGCCGGAGAUUAAGUGUGUUGUGAAAUGUAGACGCUCAACGUCUGACUUGCAGCGCAUACUGGUUUCCUUGAGUACGCACAACGUUGGCGGAAUUCGUCGUGUAGCGGUGAAAUGCUUAGAUAUGACGAAGAACUCCGAUUGCGAAGGCAGCUGACGGGAGCGCAACUGACGCUUAAGCUCGAAGGUGCGGGUAUCGAACAGGAUUAGAUACCCUGGUAGUCCGCACAGUAAAC